Molecule: ribosomal RNA, 807 nt
Filed under: uncultured bacterium
Lineage: Bacteria
Description: bacterial SSU rRNA
Rfam family: Bacterial small subunit ribosomal RNA
Source: RNAcentral
UGACUNGAGUGCAGAAGGGGAGAGUGGAAUUCCAUGUGUAGCGGUGAAAUGCGUAGAUAUAUGGAGGAACACCAGUGGCGAAAGCGGCUCUCUGGUCUGUCACUGACGCUGAGGCUCGAAAGCGUGGGUAGCGAACAGGAUUAGAUACCCUGGUAGUCCACGCCGUAAACGAUGAGUGCUAGGUGUUAGGCCCUUUCCGGGGCUUAGUGCCGGAGCUAACGCAAUAAGCACUCCGCCUGGGGAGUACGACCGCAAGGUUGAAACUCAAAGGAAUUGACGGGGGCCCGCACAAGCGGUGGAGCAUGUGGUUUAAUUCGAAGCAACGCGAAGAACCUUACCAGGUCUUGACAUCCCGAUGCUAUUCUUAGAGAUAGGAAGUUACUUCGGUACAUCGGAGACAGGUGGUGCAUGGUUGUCGUCAGCUCGUGUCGUGAGAUGUUGGGUUAAGUCCCGCAACGAGCGCAACCCUUAUUGUUAGUUGCCAUCAUUAAGUUGGGCACUCUAGCGAGACUGCCGGUAAUAAACCGGAGGAAGGUGGGGAUGACGUCAAAUCAUCAUGCCCCUUAUGACCUGGGCUACACACGUGCUACAAUGGUCGGUACAACGAGUUGCGAGCCGGUGACGGCAAGCUAAUCUCUGAAAGCCGAUCUCAGUUCGGAUUGGAGGCUGCAACUCGCCUCCAUGAAGUCGGAAUCGCUAGUAAUCGCGGAUCAGCACGCCGCGGUGAAUACGUUCCCGGGCCUUGUACACACCGCCCGUCACACCACGAGAGUUUGUAACACCCGAAGUCGGUGAGGUANCCUUUUA